CCUACGGGGUGCAGCAGUGGGGGAUAUUGCACAAUGGGGGAAACCCUGAUGCAGCGACGCCGCGUGAGUGAAGAAGUAUUUCGGUAUGUAAAGCUCUAUCAGCAGGGCAGAAAAUGACAGUACCUGACCAAGAAGCCCCGGCUAACUACGUGCCAGCAGCCGCGGUAAUACGUAGGGGGCAAGCGUUAUCCGGAUUUACUGGGUGUAAAGGGAGCGUAGACGGUUAUGUAAGUCUGGAGUGAAAGCCCGGGGCCCAACCCCGGGACUGCUUUGGAAACUGUGAAACUGGAGUACAGGAGGGGCAGGCGGAAUUCGUGGUGUAGCGGUGAAAUGCGUAGAUAUUAGGAGGAACACCAGUGGCGAAGGCGGUCUGCUGGACAGCAACUGACGCUGAGGCGCGAAAGCGUGGGGAGCAAACAGGAUUAGAUACCCUGGUAGUC
RNAcentral lists this ribosomal RNA (440 nucleotides) under uncultured bacterium. RNAcentral describes it as "partial 16S ribosomal RNA". It matches the Rfam family "Bacterial small subunit ribosomal RNA", at positions 338 to 795 of the family's 1533-position model. The record is from RNAcentral.